AGCCCGGCUUAUAAACGCCAUAGGCUGGGUAGUGUGAAGCAAAAAUAUAUUGCUGUGUGUAGUCUUUGCCUGUCAGCCCAUGAUAGGCUUUUUUUUUA
This 98-nucleotide small RNA is filed under the name Xenorhabdus szentirmaii DSM 16338. RNAcentral's name for it is "RprA". Lineage: Bacteria; Pseudomonadati; Pseudomonadota; Gammaproteobacteria; Enterobacterales; Morganellaceae. The record is from RNAcentral.